Long non-coding RNA from Nerophis lumbriciformis (worm pipefish), 927 nucleotides. RefSeq lists it as uncharacterized. NCBI's taxonomy places the organism in Eukaryota, Metazoa, Chordata, Actinopteri, Syngnathiformes, Syngnathidae. The record is from RefSeq and is a predicted model, not a curated record.
UCAAGCAUUCACUUCUAGUCGGCUACAGAGGACAAAGCAGCUACAGUAUGCCGACCUCCUGUCUCUUUAUUCUUCUUCGGAAAGGCCAAGUACUUGUUUUGAUGCUGUGUACUUGGGCGUGGCGUGUUCUCAGUUUAGUUUGGUGAAGAGCUAAUGGCAUGCCUUGCAAAAUUGCUAACAUCCUAAAUUCGCCCAGCCACUUUGUCCAGUUCUUCCAGAAUAAUUCCAAAACUUUCCCAUGCUAUAGUCGAGAGACACACUCCCUCCAAUGUGUUCUAGGCCUUUCUUGGUGACUCCUUCAAAUGGGACAUGCUCUGACGACCUCACCAGGGAGGUGCCCAGGAGGCUUCCUAACCGAAUGCCCAAGUCACUUCAUCUUGCUCCUCUUUUCGCAGCAGCUCUACUCUGAGCCUCUUCCAAAGGCCUAGCUUCUCAUGCUAUCGCUGAGGAAGAGAUGACACGUCACUGCCUACCCCACAUGGAUCCGCCUGCUGAUCUCCAACUUCAUUCUUCCCUCACAACAAGAUACUUGACCUUUCAAAGAGCAGUAUCACGGCAAGGAGAUCCACACUUACUUCCUCUGGUUGUCUGUGAGUGUGAUUCCCUGUGCUGACACCUUAAAGUGGACAACAGUCGAGGCUGACGGAGGGUCCAUGGCGAGUGUCAGCGUGGUCGCUUUCUGAACUGCCUGGUGUCCCGUGAGAGACUCCAGUUCCACAGAGCCAAGGUGACAAAGCUGAUACGCAUGUCUGCGACAGUCGUGUUCCAAGGAUGCAAAAGACGGGAAACAGCAGAACCAGCGUACAGUUCCUGACCAUUGUUACGUGCGGGGAGUCACAGCUUGCUGCGAGGUUUGUUCCCCCGGGAUACGGACGGACCACUCCGGACAGGACGUGUAGGUAGGAAGAUGAUUUAUUUGUAGAACUC